UUACAGGAUUAGAUACCCUGGUAGUCCACCCCGUAAACGUUGGGAACUAGUUGUGGGGUCCAUUCCACGGAUUCCGUGACGCAGCUAACGCAUUAAGUUCCCCGCCUGGGGAGUACGGCCGCAAGGCUAAAACUCAAAGGAAUUGACGGGGACCCGCACAAGCGGCGGAGCAUGCGGAUUAAUUCGAUGCAACGCGAAGAACCUUACCAAGGCUUGACAUAUACGAGAACGGGCCAGAAAUGGUCAACUCUUUGGACACUGUAAACAGGUGGUGCAUGGUUGUCGUCAGCUCGUGUCGUGAGAUGUUGGGUUAAGUCCCGCAACGAGCGCAACCCUCGUUCUAUGUUGCCAGCACGUAAUGGUGGGAACUCAUGGGAUACUGCCGGGGUCAACUCGGAGGAAGGUGGGGAUGACGUCAAAUCAUCAUGCCCCUUAUGUCUUGGGCUUCACGCAUGCUACAAUGGCCGGUACAAAGGGCUGCAAUACCGCGAGGUGGAGCGAAUCCCAAAAAGCCGGUCCCAGUUCGGAUUGAGGUCUGCAACUCGACCUCAUGAAGUCGGAGUCGCUAGUAAUCGCAGAUCAGCAACGCUGCGGUGAAUACGUUCCCGGGUCUUGUACACACCGCCCGUCAAGUCAUGAAAGUCGGUAACACCUGAAGCCGGUGGCCUAACCCUUGUGGAGGGAGCCGU
RNAcentral lists this ribosomal RNA (689 nucleotides) under Microbacterium sp. enrichment culture clone GL7. Its description in RNAcentral is "bacterial SSU rRNA". It matches the Rfam family "Bacterial small subunit ribosomal RNA", at positions 770 to 1456 of the family's 1533-position model. The record is from RNAcentral. Lineage: Bacteria; Bacillati; Actinomycetota; Actinomycetes; Micrococcales; Microbacteriaceae.